RNAcentral lists this ribosomal RNA (244 nucleotides) under uncultured bacterium. Its description in RNAcentral is "partial small subunit ribosomal RNA". It matches the Rfam family "Bacterial small subunit ribosomal RNA", at positions 26 to 285 of the family's 1533-position model. The record is from RNAcentral.
AGAAUCAACGCUGGCGGCGUGCCUAACACAUGCAAGUCGAACGAGAAAGUGGGAGCAAUCCAUGAGUAAAGUGGCGACCGGGUGAGUAACACGUGACUAACCUACCUUUGAGUGGGGGAUAACAUCGGGAAACCGAUGCUAAUACCGCAUAACAUCGCAAGAUCAAAGCAGCAAUGCGCUUAAAGAGGGGGCCGCGGCUGAUUAGCUAGUUGGCGGGUAACGCCCACCAAGGCGAAGAUCGGUA